RNAcentral lists this ribosomal RNA (1541 nucleotides) under Klebsiella pneumoniae. RNAcentral's name for it is "bacterial SSU rRNA". It matches the Rfam family "Bacterial small subunit ribosomal RNA". Lineage: Bacteria; Pseudomonadati; Pseudomonadota; Gammaproteobacteria; Enterobacterales; Enterobacteriaceae. The record is from RNAcentral.
AAAUUGAAGAGUUUGAUCAUGGCUCAGAUUGAACGCUGGCGGCAGGCCUAACACAUGCAAGUCGAGCGGUAGCACAGAGAGCUUGCUCUCGGGUGACGAGCGGCGGACGGGUGAGUAAUGUCUGGGAAACUGCCUGAUGGAGGGGGAUAACUACUGGAAACGGUAGCUAAUACCGCAUAACGUCGCAAGACCAAAGUGGGGGACCUUCGGGCCUCAUGCCAUCAGAUGUGCCCAGAUGGGAUUAGCUAGUAGGUGGGGUAACGGCUCACCUAGGCGACGAUCCCUAGCUGGUCUGAGAGGAUGACCAGCCACACUGGAACUGAGACACGGUCCAGACUCCUACGGGAGGCAGCAGUGGGGAAUAUUGCACAAUGGGCGCAAGCCUGAUGCAGCCAUGCCGCGUGUGUGAAGAAGGCCUUCGGGUUGUAAAGCACUUUCAGCGGGGAGGAAGGCGGUGAGGUUAAUAACCUCACCGAUUGACGUUACCCGCAGAAGAAGCACCGGCUAACUCCGUGCCAGCAGCAGCGCGGUAAUACGGAGGGUGCAAGCGUUAAUCGGAAUUACUGGGCGUAAAGCGCACGCAGGCGGUCUGUCAAGUCGGAUGUGAAAUCCCCGGGCUCAACCUGGGAACUGCAUUCGAAACUGGCAGGCUAGAGUCUUGUAGAGGGGGGUAGAAUUCCAGGUGUAGCGGUGAAAUGCGUAGAGAUCUGGAGGAAUACCGGUGGCGAAGGCGGCCCCCUGGACAAAGACUGACGCUCAGGUGCGAAAGCGUGGGGAGCAAACAGGAUUAGAUACCCUGGUAGUCCACGCCGUAAACGAUGUCGAUUUGGAGGUUGUGCCCUUGAGGCGUGGCUUCCGGAGCUAACGCGUUAAAUCGACCGCCUGGGGAGUACGGCCGCAAGGUUAAAACUCAAAUGAAUUGACGGGGGCCCGCACAAGCGGUGGAGCAUGUGGUUUAAUUCGAUGCAACGCGAAGAACCUUACCUGGUCUUGACAUCCACAGAACUUUCCAGAGAUGGAUUGGUGCUUCGGGAACUGUGAGACAGGUGCUGCAUGGCUGUCGUCAGCUCGUGUUGUGAAAUGUUGGGUUAAGUCCCGCAACGAGCGCAACCCUUAUCCUUUGUUGCCAGCGGUUCGGCCGGGAACUCAAAGGAGACUGCCAGUGAUAAACUGGAGGAAGGUGGGGAUGACGUCAAGUCAUCAUGGCCCUUACGACCAGGGCUACACACGUGCUACAAUGGCAUAUACAAAGAGAAGCGACCUCGCGAGAGCAAGCGGACCUCAUAAAGUAUGUCGUAGUCCGGAUUGGAGUCUGCAACUCGACUCCAUGAAGUCGGAAUCGCUAGUAAUCGUAGAUCAGAAUGCUACGGUGAAUACGUUCCCGGGCCUUGUACACACCGCCCGUCACACCAUGGGAGUGGGUUGCAAAAGAAGUAGGUAGCUUAACCUUCGGGAGGGCGCUUACCACUUUGUGAUUCAUGACUGGGGUGAAGUCGUAACAAGGUAACCGUAGGGGAACCUGCGGUUGGAUCACCUCCUUA